This 783-nucleotide ribosomal RNA is filed under the name uncultured Neocallimastigales. Its description in RNAcentral is "partial large subunit ribosomal RNA". It matches the Rfam family "Eukaryotic large subunit ribosomal RNA", at positions 25 to 647 of the family's 3401-position model. The record is from RNAcentral. Lineage: Eukaryota; Fungi; Neocallimastigomycota; Neocallimastigomycetes; Neocallimastigales.
ACACUGACGUCGCGACGCAUAUCAAUAAGCGGAGGAAAAGAAACUAACUAGGAUUCCCUCAGUAACGGCGAGUGAAGCGGGAAGAGCUCAAAUUUGAAGUCUUCAAGGUUUUACCUUGACGAAUUGUAGUUUAAAGAAGUGUUUUCUGUUGAGUGUUUUGGUAAAAGUUCUUUGGAAUAGGACAUCAUAGAGGGUGAGAAUCCCGUAUUUGACCUUUACUUUCAACUUUGUGAUACACUUUCAAAGAGUCGGAUUGUUUGGGAAUGCAGUCCAAAAUGGGUGGUAAAUUUCAUCUAAAGCUAAAUAUUGGCGAGAGACCGAUAGCGAACAAGUACCGUGAGGGGAAGAUGAAAAGAACUUUGAAAAGAGAGUUAAACAGUACGUGAAAUUGUCAAGAGGGAAGCGUUUGACACCAGUGUUGUUUUCUCUGAAAAUCAAUUAAAAUGAACUCGAUUUAUGCUAAGUUGUUUAGACCUUAUCAGCUCACUGUUUAGUUUUUGAGCUUUUCUUUAAUGCACUUUUCAGUUAACAAGUCAACAUCAAUUUCUUUUGCUGUAAAAAAGCUUGAGGAAGGUGGCUUGAGAUUCGUCUUAAGUGUUUAUAGCCUCUUGCCUAUGCAGUCGGAGAGAUUGAGGUCUGCAGCGUAGAUCCUUCGGGGCUAAAUGCAUCUUGUGCUAAGUUAUAGCCUUUCAUAGACAACUUGUUGACUAUGAUUUAGUCUUGUAGCUUACUCGCUUAUGCUAUUUUACCUACGCUUAGGAUGUUGACGCAUGAGAUAUACGC